GUCUAUGACCAUACUACUCCGAACAUGCCUGUUCUAGUCUGGUCUCAGAAGCUAAGCAGUGUCGGGCCUGGUUAGUACUUGGAUGUGGAGUUCAAAGGUCUUCGUAAUCU
This is a ribosomal RNA of Panthera pardus (leopard), 110 nucleotides long. The record is from Ensembl. NCBI's taxonomy places the organism in Eukaryota, Metazoa, Chordata, Mammalia, Carnivora, Felidae.